This 217-nucleotide unclassified non-coding RNA is filed under the name uncultured fungus. Its description in RNAcentral is "sequence contains ITS2". The record is from RNAcentral. Lineage: Eukaryota; Fungi.
AACGCAACUUGCACCCUCAAAAGGGGGUAUGUCUGUUUGAGUGCCGCGUUAAAGAAAUUGGUGGUUGUCUAAAGACUAGGGACUCUAUCUAAAAGUAGCCAGUAAUGUCGUGGAUCGGUAGGAUCUAGUGCUAAGCAUUCUUGGUCCGGCCAGAGCUGCGACCGAUAGCUAUUCUAUAUUUGGCCUCAAAUCAGACAGGAUUACCCGCUGAACUUAA